AUUGAACGCUGGCGGCAGGCUUAACACAUGCAAGUCGAGCGGAGCGAGGGUGCUUGCACCUUAGCUGAGUGGCGAACGGGUGAGUAAUACAUCGGAACGUGCCCAGUCGUGGGGGAUAACGUAGCGAAAGCUACGCUAAUACCGCAUACGAUCUAAGGAUGAAAGCGGGGGAUCGCAAGACCUUGCGCGAUUGGAGCGGCCGAUGGCAGAUUAGGUAGUUGGUGGGGUAAAAGCCUACCAAGCCGACGAUCUGUAGCUGGUCUGAGAGGACGACCAGCCACACUGGGACUGAGACACGGCCCAGACUCCUACGGGAGGCAGCAGUGGGGAAUUUUGGACAAUGGGCGCAAGCCUGAUCCAGCCAUUCCGCGUGCAGGAUGAAGGCCCUCGGGUUGUAAACUGCUUUUGUACGGAACGAAACGGCCCCUUCUAAUACAGGGGGCUAAUGACGGUACCGUAAGAAUAAGCACCGGCUAACUACGUGCCAGCAGCCGCGGUAA
This 500-nucleotide ribosomal RNA is filed under the name uncultured bacterium. RNAcentral's name for it is "partial 16S ribosomal RNA". It matches the Rfam family "Bacterial small subunit ribosomal RNA", at positions 30 to 523 of the family's 1533-position model. The record is from RNAcentral.